Molecule: ribosomal RNA, 253 nt
Filed under: uncultured bacterium
Lineage: Bacteria
Description: partial 16S ribosomal RNA
Rfam family: Bacterial small subunit ribosomal RNA
Source: RNAcentral
GACAGAGGGUGCAAACGUUGUUCGGAAUUACUGGGCGUAAAGCGUGUGUAGGCGGUUAAUCAAGUCAGAAGUGAAAUCCCAGGGCUUAACCCUGGAAUUGCUUUUGAAACUGAUUGGCUAGAGUACUGGAGAGGUUAGCAGAAUUCCGAGUGUAGAGGUGAAAUUCGCAGAUAUUCGGAGGAAUACCAGUGGCGUAAGCGGCUAACUGGACAGUAACUGACGCUGAGACACGAAAGCGUGGGGAUCAAACAGG